AGUAACGCGUGAGGAACCUGCCUUUCANAGGGGGACAACAGUUGGAAACGACUGCUAAUACCGCAUAAUAUAUGUUUGUCGCAUGGCAGAUAUAUCAAAGAUUUGUCGCUGAGAGAUGGCCUCGCGUCUGAUUAGCUAGUUGGUAGGGUAACGGCCUACCAAGGCGACGAUCAGUAGCCGGACUGAGAGGUUGGCCGGCCACAUUGGGACUGAGAUACGGCCCAGACUCCUACGGGAGGCAGCAG
This 245-nucleotide ribosomal RNA is filed under the name uncultured bacterium. RNAcentral describes it as "partial 16S ribosomal RNA". It matches the Rfam family "Bacterial small subunit ribosomal RNA", at positions 109 to 354 of the family's 1533-position model. The record is from RNAcentral.